Molecule: ribosomal RNA, 201 nt
Filed under: Triticum aestivum (bread wheat)
Lineage: Eukaryota; Viridiplantae; Streptophyta; Magnoliopsida; Poales; Poaceae
Description: partial small subunit ribosomal RNA
Source: RNAcentral
AUGAGUGAAGAUCUUCCUUCCCCCCUUGUGUCUUACCAAGGACCGAGUUCCCACUUAUGGCGGAAAAAAAGUAUACCAUCCCACCCGGCCUAACCCGAGGGAUUAAGGUUCCUCUCAGAGAUUGUGUUUUUAGAAAAAAAAGGAGAAGGACAAGGGCCGCUAGUCAGAAAAGCUAUAACUAUCAAUUCGAAUUCUGAAUGA